UAUUGGUCAAUGGGCGGGAGCCUGAACCAGCCAAGUCGCGUGAGGGAAGACGGUCCUACGGUUUGUAAACCUCUUUUGCCGGGGAGCAACGGGGUCCUUGCGAGGGCCCAAUGAGAGUACCCGGAGAAAAAGCCUCGGCCCCCUCCGUGUCAGACGCCGCGGUAAUACGGAGGAUGCGAGCGUUAUCCGGAUUUAUUGGGUUUAAAGGGUGCGUAGGCGGGCUGUUAAGUCAGCGGUCAAAUGUCGGGGCUCAACCCCGGCCUGCCGUUGAAACUGGCGGCCUCGAGUGGGCGAGAAGUAUGCGGAAUGCGUGGUGUAGCGGUGAAAUGCAUAGAUAUCACGCAGAACUCCGAUUGCGAAGGCAGCAUACCGGCGCCCUACUGACGCUGAGGCACGAAAGCGUGGGUAUCGAACAGG
This 417-nucleotide ribosomal RNA is filed under the name uncultured bacterium. RNAcentral's name for it is "bacterial SSU rRNA". It matches the Rfam family "Bacterial small subunit ribosomal RNA", at positions 362 to 776 of the family's 1533-position model. The record is from RNAcentral.